This is a non-coding RNA of Pelobates cultripes (western spadefoot toad), 305 nucleotides long. Lineage: Eukaryota; Metazoa; Chordata; Amphibia; Anura; Pelobatidae. The record is from the annotation of a GenBank genome assembly.
CCACAGUGUCCAGACCUGAAUAUUAUAGACAGUAUGGGAUCACAUGGACAGAGAAAGAAAUAAAAGACAACCGAACUCUAAAGAAGAACUCUAAAGAAGUGAUGAAAAAUUAUACCAAUAGAUUACUUCAUAAACUUCACAUCAGGACAGUCUCUCCCAAAAAGAGUUCAAGAUGUGCUUAGUGCCAAGGGAGGUCACACUAAAUAUUGACCUUGCCUGAAGACGCCAUUUUGUUUGGAAAAUGUUGCUUUUUUUUAUAUUUUGUGUAGAUACUUCCUGUAUUUUCUGUUUGUAUCUUAAUAAAG